Long non-coding RNA from Panicum hallii, 478 nucleotides. RefSeq lists it as uncharacterized. The transcript has 2 exons. The record is from RefSeq and is a predicted model, not a curated record. NCBI's taxonomy places the organism in Eukaryota, Viridiplantae, Streptophyta, Magnoliopsida, Poales, Poaceae.
GUUAGAAAGUUUUGUGAGCCAAAGUGGGUGCUAUCGUUUACUAUAUACUCUGACUGUUUUUCUUGUGCUUUGCUGUUAUUAUGUAACUGAGCUAAUCGUCUAAUUUAACAUGUGGGGGUUUAAUGCACAGAACCAAACAGUGGAGAGCCAAUCAGCAACCUAAAUUGUACUGCAGAUGCAGAAAGCAUCCAUCUGCAAAAGGUUACCAGGUCAGCGCUGAACCAAAGAUUCACGCUUGAUGCAACUAUGUGAUGGUUACCGGUUGAUCUUUGAUGUUAGCUGGAAUCCUAUCGGUACCUGGUGUUUCCAAACUUCAGCUAGUGGCUGUCAUAACAGACAAGCGAUGGCGCCACAUUGUAUACUAGAAUGGUUACCUAGUGCUGCCAACAGCAGGUUAAGGCAUGUGUCCGUGUAUUCCUGUAAAUUUGAGAAAAUCAAGAAAUAUAUUGAAAGUAGCACCGAUUUUGCUGUGAUGUUA